CUGCAGUGCAGAGUAGACCUGUUGAUCACGAAGCUUCGGAAAAUGGCUGUUCUAAAGUACAAGAUCCAGCUACACAGCCACCUGACCACCGGCAUGCGUCAUGAGACCAUUUGGGAGCUGGCACAG
Long non-coding RNA from Rhipicephalus microplus (southern cattle tick), 126 nucleotides. The record is from RefSeq and is a predicted model, not a curated record. Lineage: Eukaryota; Metazoa; Arthropoda; Arachnida; Ixodida; Ixodidae.